CGGACGGGUGAGUAACGCGUGAGAAAAGCCUUCAGGACGGGGAUAACAGAGGGAAACCUCUGUCAAUACCCGAUGUGCCGAAAGGUGAAAGUAAUUCGCCUGAAGAUGAGCUCGCGUCCGAUUAGCUAGUUGGUGGGGUAAGAGCCUACCAAGGCGGCGAUCGGUAGCUGGUCUGAGAGGAUGAGCAGCCACACUGGGACUGAGACACGGCCCAGACUCCUACGGGAGGCAGCAGUGGGGAAUUUUCCGCAAUGGGCGAAAGCCUGACGGAGCAAGACCGCGUGGGGGAAGAAGGCUCUUGGGUUGUCAACCCCUUUUCUCAGGGAAGAAGUUCUGACGGUACCUGAGGAAUAAGCAUCGGCUAACUCCGUGCCAGUAGCUGCGGUAAGACGGAGGAUGCAAGCGUUAUCCGGAAUUAUUGGGCGUAAAGCGUCCGUAGGUGGCUUUUCAAGUCGGCGGUCAAAGACCGGGGCUUAACUCCGGAAAGGCCGUGGAAACUGAAAGGCUAGAGAAAGGUAGGGGUAGGGGGAAUUCCCGGUGUAGCGGUGAAAUGCGUAGAGAUCGGGAAGAACACCGGUGGCGAAAGCGCCCUACUGGGACCUUAUCUGACACUGAGGGACGAAAGCUAGGGGAGCGAAAGGGAUUAGAUACCCCUGUAGUC
RNAcentral lists this ribosomal RNA (661 nucleotides) under uncultured cyanobacterium. Its description in RNAcentral is "bacterial SSU rRNA". It matches the Rfam family "Bacterial small subunit ribosomal RNA", at positions 99 to 795 of the family's 1533-position model. The record is from RNAcentral. Lineage: Bacteria; Bacillati; Cyanobacteriota.